Long non-coding RNA from Pipistrellus kuhlii (Kuhl's pipistrelle), 447 nucleotides. RefSeq lists it as uncharacterized. The record is from RefSeq and is a predicted model, not a curated record. Lineage: Eukaryota; Metazoa; Chordata; Mammalia; Chiroptera; Vespertilionidae. The transcript has 3 exons.
UAAAGGGAGCUCCCAGAGUGUGGCUGCUUCCUCUGGGGGCAGCACUGACGCCUUCGCUGGCUGGCUGGUCAGGUCAGGAACUAAGUUUCAAUUUCAGGGUGGCAUUGCCUUCAGAGAUUCCUGUGCACAAUGCAGAUCAAUCAUCUGUCUUCUGGCACAGAGUGGAGCUGAGCAGAGUAGGUUGGGGGACUGCACCUAAACUGAAAGCCAUCAGAGAAGGAAACUUCCAGCGAUCAGAGCCACCAGUGCAGUGCAGGGAUCAAAGCAAUCAACGACCAUCAGGGGUCCAGUAAUCAAGCAACGAUCAACUCAAAUGGUGUUCGGGGACCCUUUAAAUAGCUGUAGUACCCAUGGCAGUCCAGGGGGGAGUAGAGAGAUUCUGGUAAACAAAAUGCAUAACAAGAGCUCAAGUUUAACAUUAGUUCCAAUGGCAUAUCAGUAAAAAAA